GAUGAACGCUGGCGGCGUGCUUAACACAUGCAAGUCGAACGAUGAAGCCCAGCUUGCUGGGUGGAUUAGUGGCGAACGGGUGAGUAACACGUGAGUAACCUGCCCUUAACUCUGGGAUAAGCCUGGGAAACUGGGUCUAAUACCGGAUAGGAGCGCCUACCGCAUGGUGGGUGUUGGAAAGAUUUAUCGGUUUUGGAUGGACUCGCGGCCUAUCAGCUUGUUGGUGAGGUAAUGGCUCACCAAGGCGACGACGGGUAGCCGGCCUGAGAGGGUGACCGGCCACACUGGGACUGAGACACGGCCCAGACUCCUACGGGAGGCAGCAGUGGGGAAUAUUGCACAAUGGGCGAAAGCCUGAUGCAGCGACGCCGCGUGAGGGAUAACGGCCUUCGGGUUGUAAACCUCUUUCAGUAGGGAAGAAGCGAAAGUGACGGUACCUGCAGAAGAAGCACCGGCUGACUACGUG
RNAcentral lists this ribosomal RNA (466 nucleotides) under uncultured bacterium. RNAcentral describes it as "partial 16S ribosomal RNA". It matches the Rfam family "Bacterial small subunit ribosomal RNA", at positions 28 to 507 of the family's 1533-position model. The record is from RNAcentral.